UACGUAGGGGGCGAGCGUUGUCCGGAAUUAUUGGGCGUAAAGCGCGCGCAGGCGGUCUCUUAAGUCUGAUGUGAAAGCCCACGGCUCAACCGUGGAGGGUCAUUGGAAACUGGGGGACUUGAGGGCAGGAGAGGAGAGCGGAAUUCCACGUGUAGCGGUGAAAUGCGUAGAGAUGUGGAGGAACACCAGUGGCGAAGGCGGCUCUCUGGCCUGCACCUGACGCUGAGGCGCGAAAGCGUGGGGAGCAAACAGGAUUAGAUACCCCGGUAGUCU
RNAcentral lists this ribosomal RNA (273 nucleotides) under uncultured bacterium. RNAcentral's name for it is "partial 16S ribosomal RNA". It matches the Rfam family "Bacterial small subunit ribosomal RNA", at positions 524 to 796 of the family's 1533-position model. The record is from RNAcentral.